ACGGGUGAGUAACGCGUGGGAAUCUACCCUUUACUACGGAAUAACGCAUGGAAACGUGUGCUAAUACCGUAUGUGUCCUUCGGGAGAAAGAUUUAUCGGUAAAGGAUGAGCCCGCGUUGGAUUAGCUAGUUGGUGGGGUAAAGGCCUACCAAGGCGACGAUCCAUAGCUGGUCUGAGAGGAUGAUCAGCCACAUUGGGACUGAGACACGGCCCAAACUCCUACGGGAGGCAGCAGUGGGGAAUAUUGGACAAUGGGCGCAAGCCUGAUCCAGCCAUGCCGCGUGAGUGAUGAAGGCCCUAGGGUUGUAAAGCUCUUUCACCGGAGAAGAUAAUGACGGUAUCCGGAGAAGAAGCACCGGCUAACUUCGUGCCAGCAGCCGCGGUAAUACGAAGGGGGCUAGCGUUGUUCGGAUUUACUGGGCGUAAAGCGCACGUAGGCGGAUCGAUCAGUCAGGGGUGAAAUCCCAGAGCUCAACUCUGGAACUGCCUUUGAUACUGUCGAUCUGGAGUAUGGAAGAGGUGAGUGGAAUUCCGAGU
RNAcentral lists this ribosomal RNA (537 nucleotides) under uncultured bacterium. Its description in RNAcentral is "bacterial SSU rRNA". It matches the Rfam family "Bacterial small subunit ribosomal RNA", at positions 102 to 674 of the family's 1533-position model. The record is from RNAcentral.